GGAAAGAACCAGGCUUUGAUGAAGAUUGCCAGGGCUAGCUGCAGAAAGAAUGCCGCGAACACCACAAUUGUAAGAUCAUUCCCCUCAACACAGGACUUGAGGUUGACAGCAACAAAACAUGCUGAGUCGAUCCCAGCCGCAAGUAUAAUGAUCCAGCGGAGUACCUCAACUGGAAUAACCAGCAGAAAAGAGCUCAGAAUAAAAAUGAAGAGUGAAUAGCCCCACAUACACCAAAACCGUACGAGGCUAGCAUUUGUUCCGAGAUACUGAAGCAGGAAGUAAAAUGCCAAUGGUACCACAAUAGCAUAUCCAUAGAUUGCACAUGCUGCCACAUUUACAUAUCCAACAUCAAAGCUCCAAGAAGCACUGCUGUCAGCGCGUUUCUGUAUGAGGUAGGUGGCACAAUUUCCAAGAGAAGCUAGCACAAAGAC
Molecule: unclassified non-coding RNA, 431 nt
Filed under: Hevea brasiliensis (rubber tree)
Lineage: Eukaryota; Viridiplantae; Streptophyta; Magnoliopsida; Malpighiales; Euphorbiaceae
Source: RNAcentral